CAUAGCGACUAUCGUGGCAUAUCAAUAAGCGGAGGAAAAGAAACUAACUAAGGAUUCCCUAGUAACGGCGAGUGAAGCGGGAAGAGCUCAAAUUUGAAAUCUUAAAGGUUUUACCUUGACGAAUUGUAGUUUAAAGAAGUGUUUUCUGUUGAAGUUUCGGUAAAAGUUCUUUGGAAUAGGACAUCAUAGAGGGUGAGAAUCCCGUAUUUGACCAUUAUUUUCAGCUGUGUGAUACACUUUCAAAGAGUCGGAUUGUUUGGGAAUGCAGUCCAAAAUGGGUGGUAAAUUUCAUCUAAAGCUAAAUAUUGGCGAGAGACCGAUAGCGAACAAGUACCGUGAGGGAAAGAUGAAAAGAACUUUGAAAAGAGAGCUAAACAGUACGUGAAAUUGUCAAAAGGGAAGCGUUUGACACCAGUGUUGUUUUCUCGAAAAUCAAUUAAAAAGGCCGGAUUUUGUGUUGUAUUGACCUUAAAAGCUUUCUUCACUCUUUUCUUGUCUUUUUUAAUGCACUUUUCGUUUAACAAGUCAACAUCAGUUUCUUUUGUUGUAAAAGGGUCAUUGGAAGGUGGCUUUCUUUUCGGAGAAAGUGUUUAUAGCCUUUGAUCUCUGCAACCGGAGAGACUGAGGUCUGCAGCGUAGACUCUUCGGGGUUAAAUACAUUUGUGCUAAGCUAUAGCUUUUUAUAGACAACUUGUUGACUAUAUUUAGUCUUGUGGCUUACUCGCUUAUGCUAUUUUACCUACGCUUAGGAUGUUGAUAUGCAUGACUGAUAU
This 773-nucleotide ribosomal RNA is filed under the name uncultured Neocallimastigales. RNAcentral describes it as "partial large subunit ribosomal RNA". It matches the Rfam family "Eukaryotic large subunit ribosomal RNA", at positions 22 to 621 of the family's 3401-position model. The record is from RNAcentral. Lineage: Eukaryota; Fungi; Neocallimastigomycota; Neocallimastigomycetes; Neocallimastigales.